Molecule: ribosomal RNA, 448 nt
Filed under: uncultured bacterium
Lineage: Bacteria
Description: bacterial SSU rRNA
Rfam family: Bacterial small subunit ribosomal RNA
Source: RNAcentral
AUCCAGACUCCUACGGGAGGCAGCAGUGGGGAAUAUUGGUCAAUGGGGGAAACCCUGAACCAGCAACGCCGCGUGAGGGAAGACGGUUUUCGGAUUGUAAACCUCUGUCCUCUGUGAAGAUGAUGACGGUAGCAGAGGAGGAAGCUCCGGCUAACUACGUGCCAGCAGCCGCGGUAAUACGUAGGGGGCAAGCGUUAUCCGGAUUUACUGGGUGUAAAGGGAGCGUAGACGGCAGCGCAAGUCUGGAGUGAAAUGCCGGGGCCCAACCCCGGAACUGCUUUGGAAACUGUGCAGCUCGAGUGCAGGAGAGGUAAGCGGAAUUCCUAGUGUAGCGGUGAAAUGCGUAGAUAUUAGGAGGAACACCAGUGGCGAAGGCGGCUUACUGGACUGUAACUGCCGUUGAGGCGCGAAAGCGUGGGGAGCAAACAGGAUUAGAUACCCGCGUAAG